Molecule: microRNA precursor, 104 nt
Organism: Cajanus cajan (pigeon pea)
Lineage: Eukaryota; Viridiplantae; Streptophyta; Magnoliopsida; Fabales; Fabaceae
Source: Rfam
AGCGUAGAGUGAAGCCAAGAAUGACUUGCCGGCGGAAUCAGAUUCCAUCUUAGUGAUUGAAUUAAUUAACCCGGCAAGUUAUCCUUGGCUGCAUUUUCCUCUCU